UGAAUUUGAAGUUGUUUCAUUGAUUC
This 26-nucleotide non-coding RNA is filed under the name Mus musculus (house mouse). The record is from RNAcentral. Lineage: Eukaryota; Metazoa; Chordata; Mammalia; Rodentia; Muridae.